AUAAAUUUUAUUAUAAAUAAUUGUAAUUUUUUAUUUUUAGUAUAGUAUAUAGAAUAAAUAUAGUUUAUUAUAGAAAAUUAGUAUUGUAAAAGAAUACUGAAAUAAAAUGAAAAAUUUUUAUUUUAAAAGAAAAUAUAAUUUAUUGUACCUUGUGUAUCAGGGUUUAUUAAUUAUAAAAUUUAAAUUAAUUUUUCUCGAUUUUAAAAGAUUUAAUAGAUUAUAAAAGUUAAUGUGAUAAUAUUAUUUUAAAUAAUUUAUUAGAAAUGAAAUGUUAUUCGUUUUUAAAGGUAUCUAGUUUUUUAAGAAAUAAAUUUAAUUUAGAAAGUUUUUAUAUAAUUAAUUUAUUAAAAAAUUAAUUUUUAAUUAUUUUUAAUAUUUUAUGGGAUAAGCUAUAAAAUAAAUUAUUAUAAAUGAUAAAUAAAAUUUUAAAAAUAUAUGUUUAGAAUUAGCAAAUGUUAUUAAAUAUGUUAUAAUUUAUUUUUGUAAAUUAAAUUAUUUAUUAAUUUUUAAUUUUUUAUUAAAAAAUUUAUUUAAAUUAAAUAAAUAAAUUAAUAAUGAUAAAAUUAGUAUAUAAAUAUUGUUAAAAUAAAUUUUUAGGAAAAGUUUAAAUAAAGAACUCGGCAAAAUAAUGUUCGCCUGUUUAACAAAAACAUGUCUUUUUGUAUUUAAAUAAAAAGUCUAACCUGCCCACUGAAAUUUAAAUGGCCGCAGUAUAUUGACUGUGCAAAGGUAGCAUAAUCAUUAGUCUUUUAAUUGAAGGCUUGUAUGAAUGGUUGGACGAGAUAUUAACUGUUUCAUUUAAAAUUAUUAUAGAAUUUUAUUUUUUAGUAAAAAAGCUGAAAUUUUAUUAAAAGACGAGAAGACCCUAUAAAUCUUUAUAUUUAGUUUAUUUUUAUUUUAUAGAUUUGAUUUAUAUAAUUAAAUUUAAAUAUUUUAUUGGGGUGAUAUUAAAAUUUAAUAAACUUUUAAUUUUUUUUUCCAUUGAUGAAUGAAUUUAUGAUCCAUUAUUUAUGAUUAAAAAUUUAAGUUACUUUAGGGAUAACAGCGUAAUUUUUUUGGAGAGUUCAUAUCGAUAAAAAAGAUUGCGACCUCGAUGUUGGAUUAAGGAAUAAGUUUAGGUGUAGAAGUUUAAAUUUUAAGUCUGUUCGACUUUUAAAUCCUUACAUGAUCUGAGUUCAAACCGGUGUAAGCCAGGUUGGUUUCUAUCUUUAAUAAAUUAAAAUAUUUUAGUACGAAAGGAUUAAAUAUUUAAAAUAAAGUUUUUAAAAAUUGAAUAUAAUUAAU
RNAcentral lists this ribosomal RNA (1284 nucleotides) under Syneches medoganus. RNAcentral describes it as "16S ribosomal RNA". The stretch from base 1038 to 1197 matches the Rfam family "Archaeal large subunit ribosomal RNA", at positions 2544 to 2703 of the family's 2987-position model. The record is from RNAcentral. Lineage: Eukaryota; Metazoa; Arthropoda; Insecta; Diptera; Hybotidae.